GCCAUCUACCGCUCAGACUCGUUAUUACUGGCGUAGGCAAUUUCAGUCCAUUGGAUGCCAUUCGCAGUUAGUUCAGUAGCGUGGAUGGAGAGAAUAACGCGUGGCUGGAGGAACAAUUGAAAAAUGGAUAAGAUAAUACAACAAAAGGAUGAUCAAAUUAUGAAGCUGCAGGCCCAAUUAUUGGAACAACACAAAAUAUUAGAUAACAGCAAAGCUAAGGAUGCUCACAUUUUGAGUCUACAAGCUGAGCUAGGGGAAAAGAACAAAUUGGAACGGAACAGUUUCCAAACAGUGAAGGAGGUUUUUCCAAACUCAUCCCUAACUGAACAUGAGGAUGAAUUGGCAUUAGGCGAACACAGUCAGUUAUUCAGUCCACCACCUGACAGUGUGUUAUAGUUAAAUUCUGUUAGUGCUGCACUAAAAGAAUUGUUAGUAAUAAGUCCAUGCAGCGAAGGAAGUGAACAAUUGUGGGACUGUAUUUGGGCUGAAAAUGGGUGUGGUACGGAAACCCAGAAAUAGCACGAGUUCAACAUAAAACAUGAAUUAGAUUUUUAGUGGGGGAUCAAGUCAAGGCUGGAAGUGUUACAGGAUGGAAGAGUGAGCCUACAGUUGAAAAACACUGAAAGUGCAUUACCAUUAAGAGUGUUGGUGAAGCUGGGUACUUAAAUCGCCCUAAAGAUGUUUCGUUUCGUUGGCAUUGCAGCGAUGAACAUCAUACAUGGACUUUUUAGGAAAGGAUUUUUAACAUACUGGGAACACAACUAUCAACAAUGCAACAUUCUAGGGGUGCUAUUUUAUCAUUCAAGAGCCUUAUACAAUGAUUUUCAUCUGCAAUUUGUAUGGCCUUUCCCAAGCUUCUGCUAGAAGUUGAAUCUAUAAGUCAUGUAAGUCACAUGAGCAACAAUUGAGAUGCUUAAUGGUGUUGUUUUUCUUUUCUUAGCAUAGGUUAAUAGUAACAUUGGAUCUGAAAAGAUUCUUGGUUGGUGCAAGACACUGAAUAAAUUGUAAAGAUUGAAUGGAUGACAUGACAUUUCUAUACUUAAUUUGGAUUCCCGAGACGGUAUUUUAUAUUUAAAAAAUUGAAGUGCAUAUCUGGGCUCCCUUCCUUUCCGUAGCCCCGUUUCCCCUUGACUCGUAAUAAGCCCGUAGGGGGUCAUGCCCCUACUGUACGGUAUAUAUAAAAACAACAUAUACCGAGGUUUGGAGGGCUCUGGCCGGAAAGGGGACGUGGGGUGCUGCUUAGUCCGAUGAUGUGUUCACGGAGGGCUCUGUGGCUGCCCACAAAUCCGAACUAAAGGUUAAUCGCUCCUGUAAAAAUGUUCCAAAUCUUCAGCUCUUCUUCCGGCUUCUCUUAGCCAAUCACCGGGUAAUCUCCCCGGUGGGUCAACAAGGCAGUGUCUCCCCCUGCCUGGGUUGACGGCAACUUUUGAAAGGGCUAUUGUGCCUUUUUAAAGUUGCAAAAAUAAUUGUAGUGU
Daphnia carinata is the source of this 1475-nucleotide long non-coding RNA. RefSeq lists it as uncharacterized. The transcript is spliced from 7 exons. The record is from RefSeq and is a predicted model, not a curated record. Lineage: Eukaryota; Metazoa; Arthropoda; Branchiopoda; Diplostraca; Daphniidae.